This 7774-nucleotide long non-coding RNA is filed under the name Salvia miltiorrhiza (redroot sage). Its description in RNAcentral is "long non-coding RNA (SMIL_LNC006685)". Lineage: Eukaryota; Viridiplantae; Streptophyta; Magnoliopsida; Lamiales; Lamiaceae. The record is from RNAcentral.
AUAUAUUAACAAAUAAGUAAAGAAAUUUAAAGCCUGCAUUAUGCUUUUAUAUAGGUAUUAGAUUAGAUGGUUCUAUAUGUAUAAUUCUAGGGCUUGCAAAGUAUAUAGAUAAUCCAGCAAAAUAUUUGUUAUUUCAAAUGCACAUCGUACAAAUUCACAAAAAACAUGCAAUAGUAAUAGCACAAUACUUCCAUUUUUAGGACUGUGUAUACAUGCAUUAAUGGCAACAAAUUUGCUGGCACCAAGAAGCAGUGGGAAAAAUAAAAAAGAAAGUAAAUAUAUGCAGUGGUAGACAUUUUCCAUUGCAGAUUUGGGCUUUUCUGAUAUACAAGAACCACAUUUGUUCCUUGGUAAAUUUAUCUCGUUAACGAAAACAGCGUAUGCAGAGUGUGAGAUUAUGGUUUAUCAAACACAAGAGGCAUCACAAGAUCAGCAAUUACCCGCUAUUCUGAAGAAGGCCUCACAAUUCUGGAGGAUUGAUCUAGACAAGCCAAACAGCACCACCCUGCUUUCAUAUAUGAUUACGUCUGCAGCCACAACCAACAUCAAUAAUAAAUUUACCUCCCAAUGAGAAGGGAUUAGCAGUACUUAUAAUAUACAGAUCCUGAAGGUAAAUAGCCAUGAAAUCCACUAAGACUCGGGGCAUGAUUUUAUUAGGAGUGUGAGAGAAAAAUAAGAAAGAAUAUACGAGAGAUUGUUAUGCAAGUCAAGGGCUAAAUAUGAAAGAUGAAAUAAUCUCCAAGCUGCCAACCCAAGUGAUUUGCUAACGAUAAUGUGCGAUUGUGACAUACAUACAAGAACAUUCUAUUUUACAUUCAAGAAUUGCACGCGCUGUAGAAAAUGUACUAGGUUCUACCUUCUAGCCAACCUAGGUGAACAUCUUUCUAAAGAAUAAGAAAACCUCAUCAGUAAGAGUGCACACACAGAUGAUGAUUCACAUAAAUGGAAGAUAUUUAAAAAUUUAAUAUAGUUCCUCAUAAGCAGAUAUAAAUAAGUCCAGAACAAGAACCAGAUUGUUCUAAGGUAUGUCAAAGACCCCGCCCCACCCCCUAGAGAGAGAAGAAAAGAACAACCCGCACACACUUGACCUGAUUUCUUCCUAGUAAACUGAAAGUAUGAAGAAGAAAAACCACAAUUGCAAGUAAUUUAGGAUACUACAAAAUAAAAUGAAGAUAAUACUAGAAAAGGUGAAGUAGUCUAUUGCACUUAUAGAAUUAACUGCAGUCUAAGUGAGAACUGACGCAUACUUUAUUUGGCUCUAAAAGAAGCAAAUUAGGAAAUAAAAAGACACAGCAGUUGUCAAACACUACUUAGAAUCCAAUUGUCCAAAAUAGAGCUAAUUGCCUAAUUCCCAAAUAAUUUUUAUCCAAGAGUUUUUUGUUCACUUGUCAAAAGUCUUCAACCUAUAAAUAGUAUCACGUUAACCAAAUGUUAUACAUAUCACCGUCUAGAUAGGUUGGCGUUUAGAGCUGCAUUUAGAAUUUGGUUAAAAAGUACUCAAACAUACACCAGAAUCCUAGUUAGAGAAAAUCAUACUUGCAACAACAAAAUAAUUAUGUAAUGGUACUAUUUGGUAUAUUAUAUAAACACAAUUCACUAAUUGCAUUAAUGUCAAAUUAUUACUAGUGGAGAACAACAUGAAACUAGCAUUACUUUUAAUUAUCAAAUAAAACAAAUAAACAAUAGCUGAUUCAGAGAUUCCUUGUGCUUAAAUAUUAGUGCUAUUGAUAUAUGCGAUCGUAAACAUAGCUUAACCAAUUGUGUAACUGAUUCAUAUAAGCAAUUUGCUCUCCCCCCCCCCCCCACAAUUAAAUAUGUUAAUUGAUUAAAUAGAUAGAGAUUUUGCACAAAGAUUAUAUGACCUUAAUAAAUGUUCGAAGUGUAUAAAACUUUGAAAAAUAUUCCACCACCUCAGUGGAAAAUAGCCAAAAGAUGAGCUGUAUACAUGCAAGUAACGACAUUAAUCCCUUUACGUGUCCAAAGUAUUUUGCAUAGAAUUUUGAUCAAACGCACUAGACAACUGGAGCCCAUAACAUUCAACUUGGUUCCAUGCUAAACAAUAAAAAUAGUAGUAUAUUAUUUACAUAAGAUUCCAAAAAGUUACGCCUCUUUUACUCUCAUGCUUUAUUUUUCAGAUGACAUUUUUAUCUGCUAUUAGUAAAUCCUUGGCUGUUACUAUAUCAUUACAACUACAAAUUUACAUAUUAUUAUAUUUAAGAAUCUGUAAUGUGUUUUUAUCCUUCAUAAAAUCCUUAGAUACCAGAACAUCUUAUAAGUAAUGCAAAGAUGAUGCAAGAACAAACAAAUUCACGUCGGCCCAGAUAAUACUUAACUGUGAAUGAAAGACAAAUUGAUAAAAGCAAAGUUCCAGCAUGCAAUUCACUUAGUAUAAGCGAUGAAUGGAUAAAUGUCACCGACUGAUUAAUAAUUUAUCACAAGACAUUUAAUUCAGAUUAUUCUGAAUUUAUCAACUCAACUGUCAUAUCGGCAGAAAAGGCCAGAAUUGCUGCUCAUAAGGACUACGUAUCAGUGACUCGACUCCACUUGCAUGCGCACCGUGUGUCUCUUGCAAAGAGAAACUUUUUUUUGAGUAUAUUACUUCUUCCAUUUAGGCACUAACGGUGUGUCUUAUUAUGCCUCUAUGUUCACUUAUGCCUAUUUAAAGGGUAACUUGAGUUGCCAAAAUCAUUGUGACUUGAGCCUACUCAUAUUCAUCUGCAUAUAGACAUUACUUUUAUUUCCUGCAUUACCCUGUCCCCCUUGUCCCUCUCUCUCUCGUUUUAGUUUCUUUCUCUUUUUUCACUAAAAACUCACUUUUUUCACCAUGAGAAACAAAGUUUUUCAUAAUCUGGAGGUGAAUGAAACCUAUGAUCCAGUGGUAAGCCUAAAUCAGGCUUGGGAUAACAUUCGAGUUCCAAUUCUAGCGCCAAUUUUACGAAUUGCGAUUUAUAUAUGCAUAGGCAUGUCUAUUAUGCUUUUUAUUGAACGGGUCUACAUGGCUAUUGUGAUUGCUUGUGUCAAAUGCCUGGGAAAGAAAAGAUACACCAAAUAUCAGCUGGACGCCAUCAAAGAAGAUCUAGAGAAGAGUAAAAACUAUCCAAAGGUGUUGGUUCAAAUCCCAAUGUUUAAUGAAAAAGAGGUAAACGGAUCUACUUUAUCUUCAUUUAAUGAUAUAUAUAUAGCAUUAGACUCAGAUAAAAGAUGUCUAUUAAUAAAUAACACUGGAAAGUUAUUUUGAUUCAAAAAUAGAAGAUUAGGAGAAUGCAUCUAGAGUAUCUUAAUUUUUAACUAGAAGAUAUUUUAUAGAACAUGAUUAUAUAUUAAUAGAAAGGCUAUUUAUUCUAGCUAUAUAUAUAGGAAUAAAUGUAUUUCAUAAUUGUACAUUUAAUACAUCCAAGUAUAUCCAGUUUCAGAAAACAGAAUAGAAAGUUGGUUCACUAUGACGAUCACUAACAUAUUGUCUACAUUAUCGCCACUUUGGUUAUUCCAUGUACUGCCAUGUUAGCAAUAAAUGUUCAUAUACAUGCACAAAACAAGUAAUGAAUGCAUCUGUAGUUAAGAGCUUGUAUUGAACAACAUCAUUUCAACUACAAUAGCUAUCCAAAUAUGAUAGGAGCAUAAAGACCAUAGAACCUAUUGGCAAUUUUAUAACUGUUUUGAGUUUCUGAGUUAUGCUCAAGAUAUUAAGAUACUCAAAAACAGAGAGGAACAGAAAGAAACCCUUAUGUACAAUGUGCAAUUUGCCUCAGGUUUACAAACUAUCUAUUGGAGCAGUAUCUCGGCUGUCAUGGCCAUCAGACCGGUUCAUAGUGCAAGUUUUGGAUGACUCAACCAACGAAGUCUUAAGGGUAUCUUUUCCUAUCCCAUAGUAUACUCUAAUUUGAUCGCCUGACAAGUUUGUCUAUUGAGUAUUGAGUGAUAGAAGAAUAUAUGCAGGAUAUGGUUGAAUUGGAGUGCCAAAAAUGGAUAGAGAUAGGGGUGAAUAUCAAGUAUGAAACAAGGGACAACAGGAAUGGCUACAAGGCAGGCGCACUUCGAGAAGGUCUUAAGAAGCAAUAUGUUAAGGACUGUGAAUUUGUCAUAAUCUUUGAUGCAGAUUUUCAGCCAGAAGAAGAUUUUCUUUGGAGGACUAUCCCCUACCUACUUAAAAACCCAGAAUUGGGAUUGGUUCAGGCCAGGUGGAAAUUCGGUAAGGACAAUAAUAUUGUGCAUUAUAGGUGAGAGGUCCUUGAAUACUGAAAUGAUCAAUGGAAUAUCAGAUGCAUGCAGUCAAGAGAUAAAUGAAGAUCAAAUGGCAUGAUUAACUUUUGAUAUGAUAUAACACUACUAAUCUAUAGUACAGUAGAUGAUAACAAAUGUUUUGGAAUAAAGAUUACUGAGUAUUAUAAGUUGUUGAUACCAUAGUAGUUUUGCAGUUAAUGCAGAUGAAUGUUUGAUGACUCGCCUCCAAGAGAUGUCAUUGGACUAUCAUUUUAGUGUUGAGCAAGAAGUGGGCUCUUCAACAUGUUCAUUCUUUGGGUUUAAUGGUUGUCCACAACUUAAAUUCAGUUAGAGAAACCUCCCUCAAACAAAGAAUUAUUACUAACACAACUGAGACAUUUGGCUUCAAUAACAGGGACUGCUGGUGUUUGGCGGAUGUCAGCACUGAAUGAUGCAGGUGGAUGGAAAGAUAGAACAACAGUGGAAGACAUGGACCUUGCCGUCAGAGCUAGUCUCAAAGGCUGGAAAUUCCUAUUUGUCGGGGACCUAGCAGUGAGUUUUAAAACCUGAAAUUUUUCCUUAUGAGACUUAAUAUACAUAAUGUUAUUCUCAUCUACCUUUAUCAGGUGAAAAAUGAACUACCAAGUACAUUUAAGGCAUACAGAUAUCAACAGCAUCGUUGGUCAUGUGGACCUGCUAAUCUGUUACGGAAAAUGUUGAAGGAAAUCAUUAUGUGUGAGGUCAUUAGCUCCUAGUUCUAUUUUCUAUAGUUAUCUGAAACAAUUCAACCAUAAUUAUAAUGAAUUUUGAAGAACUGUGCAACUAACAAUUCUUUUUUACGUUGAUGCAGCGUGUGUCAGUCUGGAAGAAAUGGCAUGUAAUCUAUGCAUUCUUCUUUGUAAGGAACAUAAUAGCACAUUGGGUUACCUUUUUCCUUUACUGCAUAGUAAUCCCUGCGACAAUCUUGGUUCCUGAAGUUCAUCUCCCGAAGCCGCUAGCUAUCUAUCUUCCAGCAGGCAUUACCAUUCUUAAUGCAGCUUCGACUCUAAGGCAUGACCUUCCACAUAAGAAAGUGGAAUAAUCUGAUCAUAUUAUUUCUUAAAAAUGUCAUGAAAUUAAUCCUUGAAAAUUUUUACAUGUAACAGGUCCAUUCAUCUUCUUGUGUUCUGGAUACUGUUUGAGAAUGUUAUGUCUCUUCAUAGAUCAAAGGCAGCAAUAAUAGGACUUCUUGAAGCUAACAGAGUCAAUGAAUGGGUAGUGACUGAAAAGCUAGGCAACACAAUGAAGCAAAAAUACAAUGUGAAAGCAUCCAAGAAACCAAGAUCACGUUUGGGAGAAAGGUACUAAACAUAAGGGCACCUCUGAAACUAUUCCAUCAAUAUUCUUUCAAUGAAGCUAUUCUAUCAUUAUUCUGUACUAACAUAAAAAUUGAUUUUGUCCAUAGGAUACAAAUAUUGGAGCUAAUAGUGGGCAUGUACCUGCUACACUGCGCCAUAUAUAACAUGCUAUUUGGGCACAAUCAUUUUUUCAUCUAUCUUUUGCUACAGGCAGGAGCUUUCUUUAUUGUUGGAGUUGGUUACGUUGGAACAUUUGUCCCCAGUUAAAGAUGCUACUAGAAACAAGAAUAUUGGAACAUGGCUAUGAGCUAUGGAGGCUACCUGAUAGAGUCUUAGUACUAUGUGUUCAGUUAUUUUUUUUCUUUCUAUAUUCCCCUUUUCUCUUGGUGCACUAUAUAUUUUACAGUAUAAACCAUGUGUCUAUCUCUAAUAGAUAAUAAUUAAUAAGUUAUACUAACAGUGAUGAUUUUCUGGAUUCACCAAUAUCUGUUUUUCAAUAGCUGGGUACAAAAAUAAACCCACAAUAGAGAAGAAAACCAGAAAGGAAAAAAGGGAAAGAAACACACUAAUAAUUACGUUUAUAUCAAACAAUAGUGAAAAAGAAAAUAUGUUGUUUUCUGGAGCAGACACGAAGAGAAAACAGACAUUUCCAUUUCACACGGAUAAACUUAGUCUCAGAUGAUGUCAGAAUGUGUUCAAACCUCCACAAAAUACUUGAUGCAUAUGCACAGUAGCUUCCAUCAUAUGAAUCCUUGUUUCAGAAUAUAAGAAAUGUAUAGUUUUUGCUCACAGAAUAAAACAUCACACAGUAGAACAUUCCUGCUAGAGGACACAGAGGACUGUGAGGUACAUUAUGCACCUCCAUGUAACAUGAAAAAAGCUUAAAAUGAACCAUGUAUUUCUUAUGUAGGAUCAGAUAAAAUAGGUAGGAAUUAGCUGGGGCUUCUUGCUAUUAUACAUUUAAUUAGGAAAAAGCCGCCAACAAAGUUAAAACAAUCUCAUACUCCAAGUCUCCAACUAUAACUGUGAUUGAAACCCCAACUGCAGAGCCAAAAGGUAAAAUUUACCGCAAAUAAACUAAAAAGUAUAAUGAACUAACUUUAUCCGUCGAUGGAUAAUUCGUAUCAUUGUCCUUUCUGUUAUGCUGCCCUAUGUAGCAAGUUCAUGUCAGGGAGGCAUCCUAAAAGAGGAAAUAAUCAAUCAUGCACUUAAUUUGUUUGGAAAUGUAGCAAACUCCAAUUUGCAUAAUGAAUUACAAUUUCAUAUGAUACGUCCAAAGUCCUUUCCUUUGCUUGCUUGUUGUAAUCAUAUUGUUUUACAUAACCAUUCUAAGAUUAAGCUCGUCCAGAAGCUGUUAUCAGAGCAAAUUUAUAUCUACACUGAAAUUAAAUUAUUAAGAAGUAUUGGUUCUUUUUUAAUGAUCAUAAUCGGAACUUACCAAACCAAUCUAUCUUAACAAACUAAUCCAGACAAUAGGCGAGAAUAGUAAUCUUCAUAUAAAAUAUGAAAAGUCGCUCUUGAUUUAAGAAUAACACGAGUUUGAUGAACUUAAAACUCCGGCCCACACCUCUCCCAACCAUCACCUCCAAGUCUCCAUAACCACUACGAACACCAGCUUCACAGCAACUCCAAAAGAAAAUUAAAAUUCAGAAAAGAAGCCUACUCACUUCUUACAGGUUGGGGGCAAGGAACAUCGCCGCCGCCUCAGCCCUCGGGACGCCGACAUUAACUCACGGACGGUGGGGUUUGGCUUGACUAGAUGUUGGGACUUUCGAUUUCUGAUGUCAAAGAAUUGGAUGAAAUUGGGUGAAUAGAGAAAUUAGGGUUUUUCCGAAUCUGAAAUUUGGAACGGGGCUAAAGUGUGAAUAAGAGCAUCUGUAGUGUGAAAUUUGCAAUUGAUUUUUUUUUAUAUAUAAAAAAUCGUUUCAAAAUUUGAGAUUUUAAUUUUUAAUUAAAUGUAGUUUCACUAUUUAUAGUGUAUUAUAUUAAAUUACGAUUUUAUUGAGGCUAAAAAAAAAGAAAAAACAACCUAAAAAAAACCCUUGAAUGCACAAGAAGCAAACUCAGGGUCGAGCCUCAUUAAAACCUUGCUAUGGAAACCCAGUGAAAAAAACCAUAAUAAGAAAAAAGAGUACUCGUGUAAAAAAUGACUAAAGGGACGAAGCAAAAAUAAAGAGAGCGUAGGAAGGAAGCACUUCAAGAACUCCAGCCUAACCAUCGCCCCCAAGCACGCCCAG